Molecule: ribosomal RNA, 745 nt
Filed under: uncultured bacterium
Lineage: Bacteria
Description: bacterial SSU rRNA
Rfam family: Bacterial small subunit ribosomal RNA
Source: RNAcentral
ACGCUGGCGGCAGGCCUAACACAUGCAAGUCGAGCGGUAGAGAGAAGCUUGCUUCUCUUGAGAGCGGCGGACGGGUGAGUAAUGCCUAGGAAUCUGCCUGGUAGUGGGGGAUAACGUUCGGAAACGGACGCUAAUACCGCAUACGUCCUACGGGAGAAAGCAGGGGACCUUCGGGCCUUGCGCUAUCAGAUGAGCCUAGGUCGGAUUAGCUAGUUGGUGGGGUAAUGGCUCACCAAGGCGACGAUCCGUAACUGGUCUGAGAGGAUGAUCAGUCACACUGGAACUGAGACACGGUCCAGACUCCUACGGGAGGCAGCAGUGGGGAAUAUUGGACAAUGGGCGAAAGCCUGAUCCAGCCAUGCCGCGUGUGUGAAGAAGGUCUUCGGAUUGUAAAGCACUUUAAGUUGGGAGGAAGGGUUGUAGAUUAAUACUCUGCAAUUUUGACGUUACCGACAGAAUAAGCACCGGCUAACUCUGUGCCAGCAGCCGCGGUAAUACAGAGGGUGCAAGCGUUAAUCGGAAUUACUGGGCGUAAAGCGCGCGUAGGUGGUUAGUUAAGUUGGAUGUGAAAUCCCCGGGCUCAACCUGGGAACUGCAUUCAAAACUGACUGACUAGAGUAUGGUAGAGGGUGGUGGAAUUUCCUGUGUAGCGGUGAAAUGCGUAGAUAUAGGAAGGAACACCAGUGGCGAAGGCGACCACCUGGACUGAUACUGACACUGAGGUGCGAAAGCGUGGAGAGCAAAC